UCCCUGUAGUGGGGCACCCAGUCCCUGCUGGGGCCUGCCAGGGCACGACCUUGUAUGCCUUUUUCCUUGGCAGCAGCAGACAUAUUCCUUGGCGAUGGUGAUGACCACAUCUGGGACAUUGUAGGGAGUAUCUAUUUUUAACCUUACUCUGGCUCAGGAGGUUGCCCAGUCUGGUGACCUUACCUCUAGAAACUGAGUGCCAGGAAAGGAAGAGUCAGAACUGAGGCCUGAAGCUAGGUCAGCCUGGGCCUUCAAUAUUAUCUGGGACCCGGAAACAUUUGUUCAACAAGAUAAAAGUCCUUUGUGUAAGGUGCCAUAGUCACCCCACUCCCACAAAAUCAAACAUGCAAGAGACUUGGAACAGAUUCUACUCCUGGCCCGCCAGACUCUCAGGGCAGGUCCCAGAGCCCCACCUUGUCCUCGUGCAGCGCCAGGUGAUGUGUGGCCAACAUGCGGAUUCCAAGCCUCGAAGUCAGCGUCUUGUCCAAGAAGUAGCGGACAAGCUUUUCAUCCUGUAAAGAGUGAGGCCUCAGAAUCCCAUGCCCUUCCCAGCCUCCAGCAGGCCCUGCCCCUCCUUCGCUGCCCCAACCUGUAUGUGCUUCCGGCUCUCACGCAGGCCCUCUGCCAAGAGGGUCACCACAUCCUUGUGGUCAUCCAGCAGCUGUCGCACCAGCUGGCAGUACUGAGCCUCUUCCGCCUGGUCCUUGAUCUGCAGGUCACAGAGUCAUGAGCAAGGGUGGUCUGAGUCCAACCUCUCAGCCCCUCACCCUGCUUUAGCCCAGCCCUCACCGGAGCGAAGUCUGUCAGCUUCUGGAAGGCACGGAUGUACAGCUCAUGCUGCAAGGAAGAGGUGUGGAAAUUCACAGGGCUGCAUGGCCACUGAGCAGAUGCCACCCACACCUACCCAUGGAGAUACCCAACCUGGUCAACCAUGUAUCAAACCCCCACUGUGACACUUCCGCCCCCAUGAAUACACCUUUGGCUUCUAAAGGCCUAGGGCUGAA
This is a long non-coding RNA of Sapajus apella (tufted capuchin), 1004 nucleotides long. RefSeq lists it as uncharacterized. The transcript has 2 exons. Lineage: Eukaryota; Metazoa; Chordata; Mammalia; Primates; Cebidae. The record is from RefSeq and is a predicted model, not a curated record.